UACGUAGGGACCGAGCGUUGUCCGGAAUCAUUGGGCGUAAAGAGCGUGUAGGCGGCUAUUUAAGUCCUGCGUGAAAUCCUGCGGCUCAACCGCAGACGGUCGUGGGAAACUGGAUGGCUAGAGUGCGGGAGAGGAGAGUGGAAUUCCCGGUGUAGCGGUGAAAUGCGCAGAUAUCGGGAGGAACACCGGUGGCGAAGGCGGGUCUCUGGGCCGAUACUGACGCUGAGGAGCGAAAGCGUGGGGAGCGAACAGG
RNAcentral lists this ribosomal RNA (253 nucleotides) under uncultured bacterium. RNAcentral describes it as "partial 16S ribosomal RNA". It matches the Rfam family "Bacterial small subunit ribosomal RNA", at positions 524 to 776 of the family's 1533-position model. The record is from RNAcentral.